GAUGAACGCUGGCGGCGUGCCUAAUACAUGCAAGUCGAGCGAACAGACGAGGAGCUUGCUCCUCUGACGUUAGCGGCGGACGGGUGAGUAACACGUGGAUAACCUACCUAUAAGACUGGGAUAACUUCGUGAAACCGGAGCUAAUACCGGAUAAUAUAUUGAACCGCAUGGUUCAAUAGUGAAAGACGGUUUUGCUGUCACUUAUAGAUGGAUCCGCGCCGGAUUAGCUAGUUGGUAAGGUAACGGCUUACCAAGGCAACGAUGCGUAGCCGACCUGAGAGGGUGAUCGGCCACACUGGAACUGAGACACGGUCCAGACUCCUACGGGAGGCAGCAGUAGGGAAUCUUCCGCAAUGGGCGAAAGCCUGACGGAGCAACGCCGCGUGAGUGAUGAAGGUCUUCGGAUCGUAAAACGCUGUUAUUAGGGAAGAACAAAUGUGUAAGUAACUAUGCACGUCUUGACGGUACCUAAUCAGAAAGCCACGGCUAACUACGUG
Molecule: ribosomal RNA, 497 nt
Filed under: uncultured bacterium
Lineage: Bacteria
Description: partial 16S ribosomal RNA
Rfam family: Bacterial small subunit ribosomal RNA
Source: RNAcentral